GGGGGAUCGCUUGAGCCUGGAAGUUUCAGAGACCAGCCUGGGCAACAAAAUGGAACCUCAAAAAGUAAAAAUCUUGGCUUGUUUGAAAACACACACACACACACACACACACACACAGCCAAAACAAAUGUGUUUCCCAUCUCGGGCUUGGGCACUGGGUCACAAGCUUGGACAGUGAAGCUACUUCUAAACCCAGCACAGGGUACAGUGGAUGCAGGACAUGGGAUAAAAUCCUGUUAGAUUAAGCCCGUCCCUCUGCUUCUGAGGUCUGGCCUGCCUCCCUGUUCUGGUCAGAACCUGUUUUAUGCAAUUGGAGAGGAGAGGGGUCCCAGGAGUAUUUGCCCUAAUGUGAGAAAUUAGAUUACGGGUCUCUGAAAGGGAUUCUGCAAACCAAUCCUUCUUCCAAGCCUACUCUACGCAUACCUAAUAUUCUUAAGCAGUUACGAAUUUUACAGAGGUCUACAACACUUGACACUCACUCAAGGCAACUCUGAGGAAACUGAGGCUUAAAGGCCACUAGUAAGCAGUGUAAAAAGGACCUGAUCAUGACAAUUAUUCUUUGAGUGCCUACCAUGCAUGUGCUGGGCUCAGGCCCUUCACUCAAACCCUGGCUCGUACUCUCUGAAGGGUCCUGGGUGAGGAAGAUGUCAAGAACCCCAUACCUCAUCACUGACUCCCUGCCGGGGGCAUGUGCUGCUCCCAGCCUGAGAUGAGUGCUGUUCAUUACACGUCAUCUCCAUGAAGCCUCCCGCAUUUGCUCCAGGAAAGGCCCGUUCGCCACCCUGGCGUCAUUCACUCUGUGUUGCUGAUAUUGAGUCUGUUUCCUUCAAGGGGCAACAGGCUACCCAAGGACUGGGGCUGCUGCCUUCAUUUCUGUAACCUCCGGGGGGAGCUCUUGUGUGAGCCGCAUGAUGGAUGCUUGCUAACAGCUCUAGGCAGGAGGCAGAGGGAAACUGAGGUCUGCCGAGUCAUCCCUGGCCCAGGUACUUCAUGCGUGUGCAGUGUUGCUGUGGAAUCUUUACCACAACCUCCCAUCCCUGUUUUACAGAUGAAGAAACAGGCUCAGAAGAGGCAGACGUGUCUAAGGUCACACAAGCCUUGACACCAUGAGCUAGAAGCUGAGGGUGAGGUCACUUCACAUCCCUUCCCUUUAGCUUCUACUCUAUGUGGGUAGCGUCCUCGACACAGAAGGCCUGAUAAAAGAUGGCAAAAUUGCCAGGCAUGGUGUUCCUUGACUUAGCAAAGGGUUGGGCAAAAAGAUGUGGAGACCCCCUCGCCCCAACCGAAUCCCAUCAUUAGCUCUAAACUCAACAGCCCUAAGGGAGCAGAAGGGGGUCUGCUUAGAGAUCCUGGUUCCUUCCAUUUCCUUGAAGUCCGAACCAAAGUCAGAGCUGAAGUUUCAGCUAAAAUUGAAGCCAGGGCUAUUUGCAGAGGCUGCCGCCCUAGUGCGUCCUCUGGUGCUGGCCCAGGUUGGAGCUUUGCGCUAGGGCCCUGCCACACUGCAGGCAGACGCAGGGGUUCUCGCUGCUGUGGGCCGCCUAGUGGAUGGGUAGGUGGGAGCUGUGGCCGAAGGUCUGGCCACACUCACCACCAAGCAUCAGGUUUCCGGACUUUGUGACUGUGCUGGUGCCGCAGCAGAUUCCAACUGUGCACAAAACUCUUACUACAAACAAGGCACUUAGAGGCCUUCUCACCCAUGUGGAGCGCAGGUGCUGCAACAGGUUGGAGCCAAGGCUGAGACUCUUGCCGCAGUCCCCUCAGCGGUAAGGCUUUUAGCCGUGUGAGCGCGCUGGUGCUGGAUCAGGUUGGAGCUGACGCUGAAAGUCUUACCACACUAGGCACAAGCAUAGGGCCGAAGCGAUGGUCACACUCGGGGCAGGAGUGCGGCUUUUCACCGGUGUGUACCCAGUGGUGCUUAACCAGAUCAGAGCCACAUCGGAAGCUUCUGCCAUAACCCGGACAACGGUAAGGCUUGUCACCAGAGGGGCUGCCUUGGUGGUGAAUGAAGCCGGGGAGGCAGGCUGUGGUCAGUCCACAUUUCCGGCACUCGCAGGUUUUGGGGCUUGUAGACGGUUGCUCUUGGCAAAGGCUUCUUCCUCCCCAGGGCUAGAGCCUGACCAUUUUCCGGGCGGGCAGCUGCCCCGACCACACCAGGAAGGGCUGCUCAGGCGGAGCCAC
RNAcentral lists this long non-coding RNA (2178 nucleotides) under Pan troglodytes (chimpanzee). RNAcentral's name for it is "long non-coding RNA NONPTRT006007". Lineage: Eukaryota; Metazoa; Chordata; Mammalia; Primates; Hominidae. The record is from RNAcentral.